GACGAACGCUGGCGGCGUGCCUAAUACAUGCAAGUUGAGCGCUGAAGGUUGGUACUUGUACCCACUGGAUGAGCAGCGAACGGGUGAGUAACGCGUGGGGAAUCUGCCUUUGAGCGGGGGACAACAUUUGGAAACGAAUGCUAAUACCGCAUAAAAACUUUAAACACAAGUUUUAAGUUUGAAAGAUGCAAUUGCAUCACUCAAAGAUGAUCCCGCGUUGUAUUAGCUAGUUGGUGAGGUAAAGGCUCACCAAGGCGAUGAUACAUAGCCGACCUGAGAGGGUGAUCGGCCACAUUGGGACUGAGACACGGCCCAAACUCCUACGGGAGGCAGCAGUAGGGAAUCUUCGGCAAGGGACGAAAGUCUGACCGAGCAACGCCGCGUGAGUGAAGAAGGUUGUCGGAUCGUAAAACUCUGUUGGUAGAGAAGAACGUUGGUGAGAGUGGAAAGCUCAUCAAGUGACGGUAACUACCCAGAAAGGGACGGCUAACUACGUG
Molecule: ribosomal RNA, 497 nt
Filed under: uncultured bacterium
Lineage: Bacteria
Description: partial 16S ribosomal RNA
Rfam family: Bacterial small subunit ribosomal RNA
Source: RNAcentral